This 281-nucleotide ribosomal RNA is filed under the name uncultured bacterium. Its description in RNAcentral is "partial 16S ribosomal RNA gene". It matches the Rfam family "Bacterial small subunit ribosomal RNA", at positions 134 to 415 of the family's 1533-position model. The record is from RNAcentral.
UACAGGGGGAUAACAGUUGGAAACGACUGCUAAUACCGCAUAAGCGCACAGUAUCGCAUGAUACGGUGUGAAAAACUCCGGUGGCACAAGAUGGACCCGCGUCUGAUUAGCUAGUUGGAGGGGUAACGGCCCACCAAGGCAACGAUCAGUAGCCGACUUGAGAGAGUGAUCGGCCACAUUGGGACUGAGACACGGCCCAAACUCCUACGGGAGGCAGCAGUAGGGAAUAUUGCACAAUGGGGGAAACCCUGAUGCAGCGACGCCGCGUGAAGGAUGAAGUA